Molecule: microRNA precursor, 204 nt
Filed under: Oryza nivara
Lineage: Eukaryota; Viridiplantae; Streptophyta; Magnoliopsida; Poales; Poaceae
Description: MIR812 microRNA precursor family
Rfam family: MIR812 microRNA precursor family
Source: Rfam by way of RNAcentral
AAUAGAUGACGCCGUUGACUUUUUCUCACAUGUUUGAUCAUUCGUCUUAUUCAAAAAAUUUACGUAAUUAUAAUUUAUUUUAUUAUGAGUUGUUUUAUCACUCAUAGUACUUUAAGUAUGAUUUAUAUCUUAUAUAUUUAUAUAAAAUUUUUGAAUAAGACGAAUGGUCAAACAUAUGAGAAAAAGUCAACUGCAUCAUCUAUU